RNAcentral lists this unclassified non-coding RNA (295 nucleotides) under Hevea brasiliensis (rubber tree). Lineage: Eukaryota; Viridiplantae; Streptophyta; Magnoliopsida; Malpighiales; Euphorbiaceae. The record is from RNAcentral.
AAAUAAAGAAGCUGACUACAGAACCACAAGUUAAAAGGCUUUAUAUCCGUCCAAAAAGGCUUUAUAUUCGUCCAAGGUUCGACCAAACAGGUACCCACAUCGCCUUAAAGAUCCCAAAAGAUCAAAAUGAAGGAUUCUUAAACUGACUCAUAGGAUCAGCCGUCUUUCCAGACCUAGCAUCAGUCCAUGCUUUGGCAAUCGUACGUUUCAUGUCCUCAUCGCCUUCCUCAUACAUAUUCUUCAUGAGAUCCAUUAUUCCUGCCAUUGGGUCUUUGUCUUUAUCAGUGCUUGGGGG